UUUGGCCCGCUCUACCUUCCACAUUUUUCACCUGAUUCAAACCGUUCCUGUCACACUUGGACUUGGAUUUGUUAUGCCUCUUCUACGCAAAGGAUGAUUUGCACAAGCCAGACAUGAAUGUACACUUCAACUGUGAGAGACAGAAUCCAGGAAUCCAGGAAUUCACAAUGACAAAGUCAAUGGAGGCGAGAGAAGGAAAAGGAGGAUGACGACGAGGAGGCGGUAAAAGCCAGCGCGAUGGG
Nerophis ophidion (straightnose pipefish) is the source of this 242-nucleotide long non-coding RNA. RefSeq lists it as uncharacterized. The transcript is spliced from 3 exons. Lineage: Eukaryota; Metazoa; Chordata; Actinopteri; Syngnathiformes; Syngnathidae. The record is from RefSeq and is a predicted model, not a curated record.